Molecule: ribosomal RNA, 492 nt
Filed under: uncultured bacterium
Lineage: Bacteria
Description: partial 16S ribosomal RNA
Rfam family: Bacterial small subunit ribosomal RNA
Source: RNAcentral
AGUGAACGCUGGCGGUAGGCCUAACACAUGCAAGUCGAACGGCAGCACAGUAAGAGCUUGCUCUUACGGUUGGCGAGUGGCGGACGGGUGAGGAAUACAUCGGAAUCUACUUUUUCGUGGGGGAUAACGGAGGGAAACUUACGCUAAUACCGCAUACGACCUACGGGUGAAAGCAGGGGAUCUUCGGACCUUGCGCGAUUGAAUGAGCCGAUGUCGGAUUAGCUAGUUGGCAAGGUAACGGCUUACCAAGGCAACGAUGCGUAGCUGGUCUGAGAGGAUGAUCGGCCACACUGGAACUGAGACACGGUCCAGACUCCUACGGGAGGCAGCAGUGGGGAAUCUUCCGCAAUGGGCGAAAGCCUGACGGAGCAACGCCGCGUGAGUGAUGAAGGUCUUCGGAUCGUAAAACUCUGUUAUUAGGGAAGAACAAAUGUGUAAGUAACUAUGCACGUCUUGACGGUACCUAAUCAGAAAGCCACGGCUAACUACGUG